AGUGCCGCUCAGAGGAUAAAGAUAAUUCAGGGCUCAGUUUCAAUAAAUAAUACAUAGUCUCAGGUACAAUGAGUACCUGUAAGUACCUUCUGCGCAGCCUCACGACGUAGGUUAUCGCUCUCCCUGCAGUUCCAGAAGCUCACUGCGCACCUGUUGUUGAUGAAACCGCUCCAUGAAAGGCUGGUAUCCUAACAACCAGGGACAUUUGUUUAUAAGAUAUUCAACAGAACAGUGUUUGUUCAGACCUGUGGUUCCAACAACAACAAGAAGAAAUUCCAACAACAAGAAGAAACAAACGGAAAUCUGCCAGCAACGAAGGUGUACCACAGUGCAAAUCAACUCAGUAGGACUUGAUCACCCUUCGUGAAACAGGUUCUUAUCAUGCAAAGCAAAGGACUUAACCCUAACCCACAGUUAAGCACCUCCACAUAUAACAUCUCAUGAAGGCCAGACCUAAAGGACAUUUGGGAGCUCAUAGCAGUGCUGCUAUGAGACACUUCUUGAUCAAGAAGAAGGCCAGACCUUGCCCUUCUUUAUUCCAAAAUACUUUGAGUACAUAUGACAAUUUCUCAAUCAGUAGACUCCUCCAUUUAUGAAUUACUUUUGCUCAAUGCAUUUCAGGUUGAGUGUUUUCUAGUGAGGUAGGAGAUAACAUAUUUAAAUUUUAUAAGCCUUUCUGGGAAAAGGUGAGGGAUAAAUUAAUUUUAAGGCAUUUGUCACAUUAAAUAUGUAUUAUUAAAUUAAAACAUACUUAUUGCAACAUACUUAAUGAUGUAAAAGGUAAAAUCCUGCCUGUUCCUCUAUAAUCUCAUUUUCAUGUGCUGUUCGUAUACUGGUAAAGUCUUUUAGACCUCUACUCAUGCAAACACCAAUAUAAAUGCAAACACAUGUAGAAUAAAUGCAAUCAUACUAUAUACAUUGCUCUACGUCUUAAUUUUUAUAUAACGUAUUCUCAGAAUAUAAACCUCCUUCUACGUAAGUCUAUACAAAUCUAGCCUUUUCUCUUUAAUGUCUAUAUGCUAUUUCCUACUAUAGGUGGUAUACCAUUUAUUUAUUCCUAUUGUCAGAUAAUCCUGUUAUGUCAAACACAUUUUAAUGUUCCGGAA
RNAcentral lists this long non-coding RNA (1106 nucleotides) under Homo sapiens (human). RNAcentral describes it as "HSALNT0159615". The record is from RNAcentral. Lineage: Eukaryota; Metazoa; Chordata; Mammalia; Primates; Hominidae.